AUUGAACGCUAGCGGCAUGCCUUACACAUGCAAGUCGAACGGCAGCACGGGGCAACCUGGUGGCGAGUGGCGAACGGGUGAGUAAUGUAUCGGAACGUGCCCAGUAGCGGGGGAUAACUACGCGAAAGCGUAGCUAAUACCGCAUACGCCCUACGGGGGAAAGGGGGGGAUCGCAAGACCUCUCACUAUUGGAGCGGCCGAUAUCGGAUUAGCUAGUUGGUGAGGUAAAGGCUCACCAAGGCUUCGAUCCGUAGCUGGUUUGAGAGGACGACCAGCCACACUGGGACUGAGACACGGCCCAGACUCCUACGGGAGGCAGCAGUGGGGAAUUUUGGACAAUGGGGGCAACCCUGAUCCAGCAAUGCCGCGUGUGCGAAGAAGGCCUUCGGGUUGUAAAGCACUUUUGGCGGGAACGAAACGGUGCCGGAUAAUACCUGGCGCCACUGACGGUACCCGCAGAAUAAGCACCGGCUAACUACGU
Molecule: ribosomal RNA, 481 nt
Filed under: uncultured bacterium
Lineage: Bacteria
Description: partial 16S ribosomal RNA
Rfam family: Bacterial small subunit ribosomal RNA
Source: RNAcentral